This 1002-nucleotide long non-coding RNA is filed under the name Canis lupus familiaris (dog). RNAcentral describes it as "lncRNA (ENSCAFG00030022022.1)". Lineage: Eukaryota; Metazoa; Chordata; Mammalia; Carnivora; Canidae. The record is from RNAcentral.
AUGCUAUCCUGGGGCUCUGGGGGGUGCUAUCCUGGGGCUCCGGGGGGUGCUAUCCUGGGGUUCUGGGGGUACUAUCCUGGGGCUCUGGGUGCUAUCCUGGGGCUCCGGAGGGUGCUAUCCUGGGGUUCUGGGGGUACUAUCCUGGGGCUCUGGGUGCUAUCCUGGGGCUCUGGGGGUGCUAUCCUGGGGCUCUGGGUGCUAUCCUGGGGCUCUGGGGGUGCUAUCCUGGGGCUCCGGGGGGUGCUAUCCUGGGGCUCUGGGGGUGCUAUCCUGGGGCUCCAGGGGGUGCUAUCCUGGGGCUCUGGGGGUGCUAUCCUGGGGCUCUGGGUGCUAUCCUGGGGCUCUGGGGGUGCUAUCCUGGGGCUCUGGGGGUGCUAUCCUGGGGCUCUGGGGAGUACUAUCCUGGGGCUCUGUGGGGGUGCUAUCCUGGGGCUCCGGGGGGUGCUAUCCUGGGGCUCUGGGUGCUAUCCUGGGGCUCUGGGGGUGCUAUCCUGGGGCUCCGGGGGGUGCUAUCCUGGGGCUCUGGGGGGUGCUAUCCUGGGGCUCCGGGGGGUGCGUAUCCUGGGGCUCUGCGGAGUGCUAUCCUGGGGCUCUCGGGGGCCGGGCCUGGCUUCCGGGAGAGCCGGGCGAGCAGACUGGUGCUUUAGCAGCCCCUCGUCUGAGGGAGGCCAGGCCCGUGGGGGGCCUGAUGUGAGUGAGGGGCCUCCAGGCCUGUUGGAGGCUGGCCUCCCUUUGCGGGGGGAGCCAGUAGCGAUGGGAGCCUGGGGGAAAGGUCAGGGUGGGGAUGGCCACCACCCCUUUGGGUCCCCGGUUUGGCCGCAGGUGGCCCUGUGGUGCUUCCUCCAGGCCUCUGGAUGCCUCCUGGUGUGGGAGCCCCCAGGCUCAGCUCCAGAGCCUGUAGAACCCUCCAGGGCUUUCUCAAAUCCUCCCUCAAUCCCACUCCACGGUCAGACUCACCCCGCCCUCCUGAGGCCCGUGAAAGACCUUGAGGCCUUGACCUAA